Molecule: ribosomal RNA, 274 nt
Filed under: uncultured bacterium
Lineage: Bacteria
Description: partial 16S ribosomal RNA
Rfam family: Archaeal small subunit ribosomal RNA
Source: RNAcentral
AAACCAGCACCUCAAGUGGUCAGGAUGAUUAUUGGGCCUAAAGCAUCCGUAGCCUGCUCUGUAAGUUUUCGGUUAAAUCUGUACGCUCAACGUACAGGCUGCCGGGAAUACUGCAGAGCUAGGGAGUGGGAGAGGUAGACGGUACUCGGGAGGAAGUGGUAAAAUGCUUUGAUCUCUCGAUGACCACCUGUGGCGAAGGCGGUCUACCAGAACACGUCCGACGGUGAGGGAUGAAAGCUGGGGGAGCAAACCGGAUUAGAUACCCGGGUAGUCC